This is a small nucleolar RNA of Arvicanthis niloticus (Nile rat), 132 nucleotides long. RefSeq annotates it as small nucleolar RNA SNORA17. The record is from RefSeq and is a predicted model, not a curated record. Lineage: Eukaryota; Metazoa; Chordata; Mammalia; Rodentia; Muridae.
CCUGACAUUAGAGGCCUUGAAGAUGUGGCUGCUGUGUCACAUGUGUUUGAGAAGGUGACAGAGAGGAAAGAGUCUUUGUCUACGCUCAGUAUUCUGACCUAUGAAUAUCUGAAUAAUUAGUAGACUAACUAG